UCGAGGAUCUUUGGCAAUGAGCGCAAGCUUGACCAAGCGACGCCGCGUGGAGGAUGAAGGCCUUCGGGUUGUAAACUCCUGUCGAGGGGGAUCAAGGGCAACUUGAGUGAUCCCUGGAGGAAGCACGGGCUAAGUUCGUGCCAGCAGCCGCGGUAAGACGAACCGUGCGAACGUUGUUCGGAAUCACUGGGCAUAAAGGGCGCGUAGGCGGCCUGUCAAGUCGGGGGUGAAAUCCGGCAGCUCAACUGUCGAAGUGCCUUCGAUACUGACGGGCUCGAGGGAGGUAGGGGUCGCUGGAACUUCCGGUGGAGCGGUGAAAUGCGUUGAUAUCGGAAGGAACGCCGGUGGCGAAAGCGAGCGACUGGACCUCUUCUGACGCUGAGGCGCGAAAGCCAGGGGAGCAAACGGGAUUAGAUACCCCCGUAGUCC
RNAcentral lists this ribosomal RNA (429 nucleotides) under uncultured bacterium. Its description in RNAcentral is "bacterial SSU rRNA". It matches the Rfam family "Bacterial small subunit ribosomal RNA", at positions 355 to 796 of the family's 1533-position model. The record is from RNAcentral.